ACAGAAAAUUCACGACGCCUUCGAGCAGCCGUCCUCCGCCACAACUUCGCCAUGGGCGCGCCCUAGCCCCGUCCUUAUUAUCCCUGUCUAUGGCUUCUUCUGCCGCAGCCGCUGCCGCUGACGCCGCCGCGCUGCCCCUCCCAUGGCUCUCCUCGCGCUCCGUCUCGGGCCGCUUCUCCCAGCCCCGCCACAACGCCGCCGGAUCCUCCGCAGCCGGUGCCGGGGCCGGAUCGUCGCCUCCAAUGCCACCACGCCCGUGGGGGACGGGGGCGCGGCCGCGGCCGCGGUGGUGUGGUUCAAGCAUGACCUCCGCAUCGACGACCACCCGGGGCUCUCCGCCGCCGUCGCGGACCCGCGGCGCCCUAUCGUGCCGCUCUACGUCUUCGACCGGCGCAUCCUCGCAGGUUAUUCAGAUAAAAUGCUGGAACUGCUGCUAUUUGCUCUGAAAGAUCUUAAGAUGGCGUUGAAGUCUCAAGAGUCUGAUCUGCUCAUAGGCUUGGGAAAUGCUGAAGAUGUUUUGCUGAAGAUUGUGAAUGAGGUGCAAGCAGGUCUUAUUUUUACAGAAGAGGAAGUUGAAUAUAGAGUGUGCAAUGUUCUGGCCAAUGUUGAAUCAUCUUUAUCUAAUGGGUCAUUCUCAUGGGGAAGCCCUCCCAAGAUAGUGGCUUGGAGUGCCCCAUUGUAUGACUAUAAGAAUUUGGAAGAAGUAUCGACGUCACACGACCAAUUUUUAAAGACAAAACUACCAAUGGCCACACCUCUUGCUGCUACAGCUUUGCCUGCUCUAAAUUUGGAGUUAGACACAGGUUUUCUACCCACUCUGGAAGAAUUAAAAGGUUUCCUGAAAGACAGUAGAACACCGGAGGAUACUUGGUUCCCUCUCAAGAACAUGUCUGCAAGAUCUAUUCUAAAAAGGACUGUCAGUCAAAGAAUGAUCAAAACUAACACUACAUUAAGCACCAGCAGCAAUGACGAAAACAUAGAGGAUAUCCCCAUGGAUUCUGGUGCAUCAGGAAGGAGAAUUAUGAAUUCAAUGUUUGCAUCUGAAAACUCACUUGAAGUUAGGGGUGGAACAGAUAUUACUUUGGAUGCCUUGGCUGCUUACCUAAGAUACCUCGAAGGAACAGGAAAUGCUAGUUGGCAAGAGUUGCAUGAUAAAGUGCGCUUAGCUGAAACCAGAGAUGGUGCCUCAUUCUACACCUUGUUUGGGCCUGCAAUUCAGCUUGGAGUCAUAUCCAGGAGGAAAGCCUACAAUGAUACUAUUCAAUACGAGAAAGAUCGCAAUGCUGGUUUUCUAUCACCAUUUGGGUACUCAACAGCUACAGUGAAAGCAGCAGUAGAUGCUAUAUGUUCGAUGGAGUGGUAUUGGCUCUUGGCGUCGAAAUCCCAAGUAUCUGUCGAGGGAAAUUGUCCUAUAAGAAUUUGGAGAUGGAAGGGUUAUCUUGUACAGUACACUUUUGUUGGCAACGAAGGUCCAGCUGUUCUUCUUGUGCAUGGUUUUGGAGCUUUCCUGGAGCAUUUUCGUGACAAUAUAGAUAACAUUGCUGAUAUGGGCCACCGAGUUUGGGCAAUUACUCUUGUUGGGUUUGGGAAAUCAGAGAAACCAAAUGUCAACUAUUCAGAACUUUUCUGGUCAGAGUUUCUGAGAGACUUUAUUAUUGAUGUUGUGAGGGAACCUGUUCAUCUUGUUGGCAACUCUAUUGGAGGCUAUAUCUGUGCCAUUGCUGCUGGUUUAUGGCCUUCUCUUGCUAUGUCUCUGGUUCUUUUAAACUCAGCUGGUUCGGUUGUUCCAAAUUACUCCUUCGUCCCAUUGAGUGAAGAAAGACGAACAUCUUGGCUUUCCAAGUUGCAGGCACAACUUCUUUUGCUCUUCUUGAGAUCAAGACUAGAAGGCAUUCUUAAAGAAUAUUAUCCUACUAGAACGGGACGGGUGGACAAGCCACUUGUGGACCAGAUUAUUAGAGCUUCUUAUGAUCCUGGUGCUGUAACAGUUCUUGAGAGUGUAUUCAGCUUCAAUCUUUCAAUUCCUCUUAACUUUUUAUUUGAUUCUUUUGGAGGAAAAAUAUUAGUUAUCCAGGGUAUGAAAGACCCCCUUACAAAAUCUGAGGCGUUUGUUACCAUGCUCCGAGAGCAUUGCAGCAAGGUUCAAAUCAGAGAGUUGAAUGCAGGUCAUGCUCCACAUGAUGAAGUUCCAGAUGAAGUAAAUACCCUACUGUGUGAAUGGAUGAAACAGAUUGAAGUUAAACCAGCCCCGGAGAAGGCCAAGGCAAUAUAGGUAACAUUUAGAAUUGUGGACACUAUACAUUGGCUGAUUGUUUAACAUGAUAUUUGGAAGCACUUUGUAACAUCUUUUAUCAGUGUGCUGCCAGCAAUUCUUUAAGUCUUGUCUGAUUAAGUAUUGUGAGUUGUUAACCCUGUACAAAAUUAUGUACACCACUUUUGGCUUUUAAGCUUCAUCCUUCAUGCCAUCUUCUGGCAGCUGAUAUUGAGAUGAAACAUACAUGAGAUCAGAAGAAGAAAUAAAAAGCAUCUGUGCAUGUUCUGGGUAAGUAAGGAGACAUGGUAUGCAAUUUACAGUUGCUGAGAACUUACUGUGAUUCCUACUUAGGGCUUGUUUGGAUUAAUGACUAGAGCCGAUCUCUAUUGAUUGGGAAGUUUUUUUUUUUUGAAAGCUAUACGACGUGUGAAGCCUGCCUGUAUUGGGAAGGUAUAUUGGGUAUGGUCCCCUUAAUAGUUAUUCUUUUUGACCCCAUUGUGUAACUAAUGUUUAAUUAUGUUACUCCUGUAUGACUGUACUUGUAUUCUAUCUACUCCACUUGUUUCAUUGGGACUGUAGCGGCACAAUUAAUUGUUGUUUCAUGCCAAUUUGUGCUUUCUCUGUCCUUUAUGUGCAAAUUUCUCAGAGAAGCCAACUGUAAUCACCUCAUUGAGCUAUUCUCCUGCAACUGCAAGGUUAGUUGUUGGAUUUCUAUUGGAGGAUUUGAACUAGCUCCGUUAAUACUCCUUUACUAUAGUACUGAAUAAGAUGGAAGCCCUAACCCUUCAGAGCUUGAUCUGGGUUCAAAUUUCAAACCUGGGAUCAAAGCUGGAUGCCUGUGUCUGCAGACUUUGAGCAAAGCUUCUGCAUCAGCACAUGCCAUAUGCUUGAUGCAAAAUAUUACAUGGCGACAAAUAGUGAAUCUUUCUCGGCACUGGAGCUGGCUUUCAUCAUCCUGAGUAUGCAUUACAUCAGUUCGGCAGCUUCAGCACCAUUCAAUGCCCUCUACCAAUCACCGGUGCUUCCACCCUUUCGCAAGGUCAUGAGACGGCACUGUCACUUUGGUCGCCUUCUCCCAGCAAAAAGAACCCGAGCAUUACCACUCCCGGACAGCGACUCAGCCCCACUGCUCUCCCGAGUGAUAUCACCUCAUGACAGCCCCGCAUCACGCGUGUCGUCACUGUUUUUUUAGCCCCCCUUUGGCUUUGCUGCCCAGUAUUCAGUGCCUUCUCUGGAGCAUCGGCAGUGCUUCCACCAGUCACGAGCCCUGAAAUGAUUAUUUGCUGCCUCAUUUCGCAAUGCUUUAUUUGGUGGCCAUCUCAAAAAUCUUUGGGCAAGCACAGGGACCCCAUCAACGAGGCCAUAAAACAAACCUCUGAUUGGGAUCACUCAACCAACCUACCUUAUCUAUUCAGCAAACUUUCACCAGGGCCCUUGUCCUGGUUUUCACCAAACCUGACAGCUACGCGCACUGUCCAUCCCAUGGCCUCUACAAAGGAUGUCAAGUUGCAGGUAACCACGUCAUCUCGACGAGGCUACUGACCUCUUCUUCUUCGCUCUAAUGAUAGGCCUUGAUAGUCGCCUGCACCCGUCCAUGGCCACUACUUGGAGGCCAGUAGGCCCAGUACCACUUCUACUACUGCCUCCCCGGUCUUGCUCGCUCUACAAGGCCCUGGUACAAGCCUCCUCGUAUAAUUGUUAAUGAUUCUGUUGCUGUCUCCCGUGUCCCGUUGGUCCGAUCCCCGGGGGUGUUACAAGCUAUUGCUCGUGCGCCACCAGCUGCUGCGCCCUUGCUGUCCGCUUCAAGCCGAGUGCGCCCUCGUGUAGUCGUGUUGCUGGAUUUCUUGGCGAGUUCUUACGCUAGCGCCUCGGGUAUCGACGUGUGUUGGCGCAGAUUGGGCGACAGAAUCCGGGCAAAUGUGCUGCCGGAUGGUGAAACUUCUGGAGCUCUUCCGCAAUACGCCUACACUACAGAAGUAGGGCAACCCUUAUUAUUAAAAAAAAGAAAAAAAGGAGGAGAAAAAACAACGAGGCUGAUGUUUCAGAAUUCAGACAGGAACUACAAGUCUCCAGUUAGAACGCGGAUUUUUUCGCAUAUUCCAUGGGGUCAAAAAAAUUUAUAUGGAAGCUGUACAUCCCAAAUAAUUUGUAUAUAGGUACAACUGUACGAGUACUCGUAGCUGCUCUGUCGGGUAGCUACUUGGCUUGUGCAAAAGAUACAGGUAAGUAGGUAGGUCGAAGAUUAGUAUCUCAUAUUGUGUGAUGUGGUUUUGUUUAGUGUCACUUAUUAUAAGAGGUUAAAAGGAAUGUCGCUUGCGAAGUUGGUAUA
Panicum virgatum (switchgrass) is the source of this 4583-nucleotide RNA transcript. RefSeq lists it as uncharacterized. The record is from RefSeq and is a predicted model, not a curated record. NCBI's taxonomy places the organism in Eukaryota, Viridiplantae, Streptophyta, Magnoliopsida, Poales, Poaceae. The transcript is spliced from 15 exons.